This is a long non-coding RNA of Anopheles stephensi (Asian malaria mosquito), 2915 nucleotides long. RefSeq lists it as uncharacterized. The transcript is spliced from 3 exons. The record is from RefSeq and is a predicted model, not a curated record. NCBI's taxonomy places the organism in Eukaryota, Metazoa, Arthropoda, Insecta, Diptera, Culicidae.
CCAACUAUCUUGUCGUCUCUGGUACGUUAGGGGCGAAAAAAAAAACUCCAAAUAAUUGCUUUCGGUUGAUCACAGUUGAUACACAAACCUGCUGAUUGCCACUCUGACCCACAUCGAGACUCUGUGGAGCGGACAAAACUAACCAGCAGGCUCUUUGACCCUCUUUACCACUUCCGGUGCUCUAAUUGUGAAAGCAAUCACUGUUAACCCUCUCGCAGGAUCCUCUUGUCACCUGAUGUUGCCGGGGCUCAAUCUAAAAUCCUUCUCUUCUUCAUCUACAUCAGGCUCUGGAGUUUAUUGGUUCGCAACUCUCCCGUUUCGUCCGUUGGUCGCUCGUAUCCUGCCGACAAGACAACCACCGACCCGUCGCACGUAGAUCCAGCAGCUUCGUAUCGUUUCGGUAAGACCCUGUUACCAAUUUAUGCAUAAUCGGAGAGCAAAUCUAUUUCCAGCGGUUGACAGGUAAUUUUGAAACUUUAGCCCACAAUACUCACCGCUCCGGUUGAAGCAUCCCCACACAUACAAACAGCUCGAACUGUUGCCCGUGUCGGGUCUGGUUCGGUCUUGCGUUACGGGCGUACCGUAACAUCUACACCGAACAUUGUUGGUGUGUGCGAGUGUAUGUUUGCGAGAUAGCUAGAUCUCGGGACGGGCUUUUAAGCGACGGGCACACAUUUGAAUCUUCAACCACACAGAACGCGCCCGUAAGUAUAUAGAGGCCACCAGCGAAAAGGAAAAAAAAACACACACACACAGAAUCACAAUCAAUGGCGGAAAACUCAAUUUUCCCGGAAUUCCAUUUUGGCGUGUAACGCUCAUCAUCACCAUUUACACCUUGCCCCCGGUAAGAUUGCGUCCGUCGCCUUCUGCCCUUCGGCGAAGUUUGUUUAUUGCGGUACGCUGUCAACCGUGCUGUCACUGCGUUGGUUUGUUUACGUGCAACCAUGCGGUCCUUGUUUUUGUUGCGGUGUUCACUCCAAACCCGAGCUCUGACAUUUCGUUACAAGUGAGCUAGUGGAGGUGUUCAGCCAAUGUAUUCUGAAGCUGGUGGUGGAAAAUUGGACCCGGCAUGGUGAACCCGAAGGCAGCGGUUCGUUUUUGCUCUCUGUCCGUUUAUUCUGGUUUUUCGCCCCCUGUUUGCCGCGUUUCUUGGAGACUCCCCGAAAUCGUUUGAUGUGUGUCCUCGCGGUUCUGCCAACAGAUCCCGCAUCACGCUCCCUCACACUUAUUCGCUCUGAUAAACAAGAUAAACAACCAAACCCACUCAACUGACAGACGCCUUAUAAUAGCUUAAUAGCUUUAUUUCCACCCUCGGUACAGGCAACUACUGCUGCUGGUGGUUUGCCUGAUGCUUGAAGGGUAGGAUGGUUCACCUUCGAAGGUUGGCUUUUAUUUUCCGCUCGUACCUCUUCACUACCUCCAGUCCCUGUGUCCAACUUCUCCCGGGAGAGUCCCGGGAGGACCACUUCGGUGUGCCGUUUUUCGGCGUGUGGGGUGGGUAAAGUGACACUUGGGAAUACCGGCAGGACGGCAGAAAUCAUGACACAUGAAGAAAACAGAUCUCAUCCUCCAGUUCCUACUUUCCUCCCCCUCAACUCAACGCUCACCCUUACCCAUCCAGAAUAGCUGGUUGAGGCCCUACCGAGACGAGUGGCGUAAAGUGAAAAUCGCUGAAAAUUGAGCCGAAAAUCGGCAGGGAGGGAAAUUGCGCAUCACCGCUCGCCUCCCCCUCUCUCUCACACACACACACCGAGGGAUAGGGAUUGCUGUGAUUUUAUUCCGCCGGCACUCCCGGUAUCUCCACCACGGAGAGGUGGAAUGAUUACUAGAUUAUGAUGCGUGCAUUAACAGAUUACCCUAUAAUUGAGCUCGGAAGCUGUUGUCGGGUGGUUCACGAGGGGUUUUUGCUUUCUUUUUCCCUCCUGUUCACCACUCGUACCCUCCCUCGGUUCGGGGCAACGAGGUCGGAAAAGUCGGUGCGCCGUCGAUCGAUACCCGGGGCGUAGGGGUGUUGAGGGAUUCGAGUCUAUUAAAUCUCGGUCGUUCCGUUCACUUUUAUUGGUCGUCUCGAUAAUGAAAUGGGACAUCCUUUCGCUCCCUCUCUGUUUCUCUCGCUCUCAACCUCUCUCGCUCUAUCGCGUGCGCUCUCCCGGUCGAGUCUAUCUACGCGAACUCGCUUCUUGAUGGCGAACCGAGAGCUGUAAAACACUGCUUACGGGCACUUUGGCAGCAGCAGCAGCAGCAGCAGCAAGCUUGUUAUUACCGUUCCUAGCCACCACCAGGGACGGGAAAAUUUAUGUUAACUUCAUUUUCGCCGCAAUCAAUACACACUCGGCCCCGGGACCACCGGUUCCAUUCCCCCAUUUGACCCGUCCGCCGGCUCCGACUGCUAGAAUCUGUAACAUAUUUCACUGCGUCCCUGCGACGGACGUGUGCCACCGGUACCCUCGGUGGGCGCAGUGAAAGUCAAAAGCUGCCGCAAAUUUAUCAAAAAUAUGUUAAGUUAAUUUUGAUGUUUUUACGUUUCAUAAUGAUGGUCGCACACCAUUACGCCGCACACCAGCAGGGAUGAGCCGUGGCAACUGCUCACAGAUGGUCGGAUGGGUUUCGGGUCGGAGGGUUUUUUUUUGUGUGUGUGGGCCGGAUAGGGCGUCCGGCCGUUCCGUUUCGAUAGUUUCCCGUAACCCUCCUCGGUGGGUAAUUGUGGUUGGUGAUGUUAUGUUUUGAUGAGGUUUUGUUUGUUUGUUUGCUUCACUGUCUGUCUGUGUCUGUUUGUUUAUAUAUGGUGACGAUUAAGUGGUUAAGUUGUAAUGCAAUCAUAUCAUAACGCAGCGUGGCGAGGUUUCUGCAAAUAUUUGAAAUAGGAUUAUAACGCAUGCUAAAUGAACAAUGAAAAGGAUAGGGGAAAAAAUAAA